Gossypium arboreum is the source of this 279-nucleotide long non-coding RNA. RefSeq lists it as uncharacterized. The record is from RefSeq and is a predicted model, not a curated record. NCBI's taxonomy places the organism in Eukaryota, Viridiplantae, Streptophyta, Magnoliopsida, Malvales, Malvaceae. The transcript is spliced from 2 exons.
CAUAACAAACAAAUCUCCAGCAGCAAACAAAGAAAGAAAGAAGAGAUCCAAGCUUCAAGCCGCCGAACCCCUCUUUUUCCUUCCACCGUGCGCGCCACCAACAGCCAUCGUAUGCGCCGCGUGAAAUCAAGCUACGGGUAGUUGAGAUUUGGGUUUUGGGGUGGCUUAUAAUCGAUUGGCUCGGGUAUUUAGAGUGAGUUUCGAUUUGGGAGCUUGGUUGUGGUGUUAAUGGUGGGUAUGGAGGUGCCAAGCAUGCGGGGAUGGUGUUGGCAGAAGCAU